This 106-nucleotide small nuclear RNA is filed under the name Octodon degus (degu). The record is from RNAcentral. Lineage: Eukaryota; Metazoa; Chordata; Mammalia; Rodentia; Octodontidae.
GUGCUCACUCAGUAGCACAUAUACUAAAAUUAGAACAAUACAGAGAAGAUUAGCAUGGCACCUGCGCAAGGAUGAGACACAAAUUUGUGAAGCAUUCCAUAUUUCA